UUUUUGAAAAAUCAAUAAAUUAUGUUGUUAAUUUUAGCUCUUUAUCUUACAUGGAAAUACGGAAUAUAGAUCUCAAGUGGAAACAGGCAUACAUAUGUAUAUAUUCGAAUAGAUUGAUUUUACAGAGCAUUCUUUUUUUUUUUUUAAUUCGAUAUCUUAGGGCCUUUCAACUCAUCACAUUCAUUCAUUAUGUGGGAAUGAGUGUUCCAUGGAAUAUAGCUUUGAAGGCUCUAGAUUUGGUUUUCAGCAUCGACGGAAUCUUAACUUACCAAAGUGAUAAGACUUAUAUGCUUACUUCAACUUUCACUUUGAACCAUGUUUUUUUGGCAUAACACUAUUUGAAUCCGGUUCUCCUAUGUAGGUCAAAUUAGCAAUGCUACAAAAUAAAAAGAUAUGAAGUUGGCAACCAGAAAAAAAAAAAAAUUUACUAAUUGAUGUUACUAAUCAUUACUGUCAGCUCACUACUACUCCGAGAUGAACAUGUAGUUUAUUU
This 493-nucleotide long non-coding RNA is filed under the name Capsella rubella. RNAcentral describes it as "long non-coding RNA (CRUB_LNC004326)". The record is from RNAcentral. Lineage: Eukaryota; Viridiplantae; Streptophyta; Magnoliopsida; Brassicales; Brassicaceae.